UUAUCUGGGUGUGUUAAGGCACCGAAUUUGACGUUUCGUAUAAUGUAAAAUUGUGGAAGUUCAUAUUUCUAGUUCUUUCUAAUGUUAAUGUCGUCACGUUCUUAAUUUGAGACUCAAUGCUUCGAGUAAUAUCUAGGAAAUCUAAUAAAGUGGCCAAUUAUAAUAAAUUCUAACUUGCUAACAGAUAUGGCCUUUUGCAUUUCCUUUCUGUAAAUAAUACAUCUGUGCUGACAAUUUUUCUUUUUUUGUUAUUUUGGUUUUUCCACUGUACAUGCCAGGUCCGCACUUCUGGAUGGAAAUCUCAUGUAAGUGGAUUUUUUUUCCUUUUUCUUGAUGAGCCUUUAGUGAUUGGGUAAAAUGAAAAAAUGGUUAAGUGGGAUAACUAUCAAGUGUUGAAUUGAUUCACUCUCAUUAAUUGUUGAAUACAUGUGUCUGUGUAUCCCUUUGUAAUGCAAUUUGUUAUAAAUGGGGUUGUUAUUAUAUUGCUGUGCAAGUUAUUGAUGAUAUAAUUACCGGUGAAGGCAUGUUCUUAGGUUUAUAUGAAGUAUAGUAGUAAAGUUUCCAGUUUGGUGUGGAACAUAUUCCUCAGGGAACAUAUUUUAUUGGAAAAUCAUAGACGUAAAAUUUUCUCUUCUGCGGUUGUUCAGAUACCAUAAAAAAGGAAAAUGAAAACAAAUCAAUAUUUAUCGUCCUUACAAUGCUAAGGAUUGUGGUUUUCCCCUUUAUUUUGUAACGAAGUGUAGAUUCAUUUAAGUUUUAUAAAGAAGAAAUGUAACUUACAAGAGGAUAUGAUGUAGCUUAGAUGACUUCAAAUCUUAUUCUAGAACAUGGUGCCAUUGUAGUCAGUAUCUAUACAGGUGUUUGUGAUACCUAUAAGGUUGAAAGGGAAGUUCUGGAGAAUCGUCACUUAUGGUGCUGAGCGUGGAGCUGAUAAAUGGAAAAAUGUCCUUAAGUGGUUAUUAGAAUGUUAAGAUGAAUGUCUAGUCAUACUAAAUGAAUGACAUAAGAAAUGAGAAUUUACACCAACAGGUGAGGAUGGCAUAUCAGACUCAAAGUGGUUAUGAGGAUGACUUUUGUGAUUCAAACAUAUCAGACUUAAAGAAGCCCUUGUCAUCUAAUGGAAUAGGUUAGAAGGUGUAGACCAAAAUUAGCUUGUCCGUUGUGGUUGUGAAGGAUUUGAUUGCAAUGUAUCAUCUAGUGGAAGUAACAGUGUACCGAUAAACGUGUUGAAAAAGAUUCAUGCGUUUGACCCCAAUAUUUGUUAGAAAGAAGGCUUAGUUUGUUGUCAUAGUUGUGCAUUUAUACAGGAGAUUCCCCGAAAAUAUAGUUUCCAUAAUUCCAUUUAAUUUUGAUUUAUGCCAUCAAGUCCCAAAAUGCAACUAGAAUAAAUGAUUUAGAAACUUGUACGAAAAUGCUGACUCUCUUAGGGAAAUUGAUGGCUUUUCACUCGCAAGUAAAACUCAAUUCUGCCAAAUAUUUCUUCCUCAUCUCUUCUCUUGAUUUUUCUUUAUCAUCCUAUCCUAUCCUUUUUCUUGUCCUUUUCAUUUUUAGACUCUGUUCUUUCUCAAUUGGUAAAUUCAUCUCGAAAUAUAAAAUGAGAAGGAAAAAAAAAAGAAAAAGAAAAAAGAAGAAGAAUGGUUGGCAAUGUUUAUGAAGAAUUUCUAUUGGCGACACAGCUUUCUAUAAAUUGGCCAUGAGAUUCUAUCUUGUUAUUAUUAGGGAUUGACUUUGUUGAUUGAUUGGUGCUAGCAACUUGCUGAUGUGUUUGCUCUGUGUUGGGUAAUGACAUAAUGAUUUCCAUCAACUGAAACGUUGCCCUUUUUUUUUUUCUUUUUUUCUUUUUUUUUUN
This 1849-nucleotide long non-coding RNA is filed under the name Olea europaea (common olive). RNAcentral's name for it is "long non-coding RNA (OEUR_LNC003040)". Lineage: Eukaryota; Viridiplantae; Streptophyta; Magnoliopsida; Lamiales; Oleaceae. The record is from RNAcentral.